GUUUGCACUUAUCGGGGAAGGGUGAGAACCUUCGAUUAAGGUUCGACUUGAGCGAAAGCGAGAGAACGUUGCCAACGGCAACGGCCCGUAGG
RNAcentral lists this small RNA (92 nucleotides) under Salmonella enterica subsp. enterica. Its description in RNAcentral is "partial RtT sRNA". It matches the Rfam family "RtT RNA", at positions 1 to 90 of the family's 130-position model. From Rfam's summary of the family: This family represents a bacterial cis-regulatory element known as RtT RNA. The exact function of RtT is unknown although it is thought that it may be involved in changing the cellular response in relation to amino acid starvation. Lineage: Bacteria; Pseudomonadati; Pseudomonadota; Gammaproteobacteria; Enterobacterales; Enterobacteriaceae. The record is from RNAcentral.